Long non-coding RNA from Alexandromys fortis (reed vole), 1753 nucleotides. RefSeq lists it as uncharacterized. Lineage: Eukaryota; Metazoa; Chordata; Mammalia; Rodentia; Cricetidae. The record is from RefSeq and is a predicted model, not a curated record. The transcript has 7 exons.
CCACAUUUUCGUAGCUAAGGCUCCUAUUUGCCUUCUUUGAGCCUCUACCAGUACUGGCAGUUCUGCCCAUGGGGAAAACUCUGCGGGACCCCGCCACUGUAGCCCUUGCACUGUUAAGAGGAGUCAAAGAGGUUGGAGUUGCUGGCAAAACUCAGAGUGCUGACCAGGCAUAAGGAGCCAUCAGUUCUAUUCUUCUUAUUUUCUGAUUUUUGACAAAGAAAAUCAGUUCUAUUCUUAAAAGUUGUUGGAAACCAAGGCAUACAUCAGCAUUUUUUUUUUCUGCAAUCAAUGUCUUCAGCUUCUGAACACUGUGGUGUUCUUGGACAUCAUUUUUCAUAGUCUUCUGGUAUGUAGGUGGGAAAAUACAAAGAUCAAAGUUUCUACGGUCUUCGUGAGAGGAGAAAAGGAAGCAGAAUAGGAAUGUUGGCCAGACUUUCCCAGGAUUCCCAGAACAAAGAAAAUAUGAAGAUUAUUAUAUUUCAGAAGAACAUAAAUGCUUGGAAACUUGGAUUGUGUGGGAUUUCUUUUAAGCAUCCGGCCCCAUUUGGUGCUCAACCUGUAGAGAAAUGACUGCUGAACUUGCCUAAAGAAUCCAUAAGGGAGGAAGAGAGCAGAGUCAGAGAUACGGCAUGGAUCCACCAGAGACAGAUGCUCGGAAUUUUGCCUGGAGGAGCCCUAAGCUUGAUGAAUACCCUACAUGUCUACUAGACAACUCAGUAUUGAUCAUGCUGGAUCCUGUUACUUGAUGCUGUUUGUUCAAACUGUGACAAGUGGCUUACUCCAGUAUUUCCUUCUGAGUAGUCAAUAAGAAGAAGAUGAACAUAUUAAAAAUUUUUUCCUGGUACUGUAUAGAUGUCUUGGUUGUUAUGAAUACUGAUAUUCUUCCAGAGGACCAGGGUUCAAAUUCCAGCAUCCACAUGCCAGCUUACAAUUGUCUGUAACUCUAGUCUCAGGGAAUCCAUUGCCCCCUUCUGGCCUGCAUAGGCACCAGGCAGGCAUGUGGUGCACAGAGAAACAUAGGCACAACAGCUCAACACAUACAAAUAGAUAGAUAAAAUUAAAGAAAACAUUUCAAACAUGUACUUCCUUUGUGAAUCUCCUUUACACAACAAUCUAAGUCUGCCCAGUUGUGAAUUCAGAGCACUGGAUUAGAGCUGGGCCCUGCAGGAAAUGAACCCAUAGAGUUGUUAGUUAGCCUUGGAGGUAGGGAAAGAAGAGAAAUGAGUCCUAAGAACAGAUGUGUCCUGACACAAACAGAAUACCCAAUGAGCAGAUGUUUGUCUAUGCUGGGAAAGCACAUGGGUCUCUCUUGAAGAAGAGAUAUAGAUUGCUGGGGCCUAAUUCAAGACACUUUCUUACAGAAGUCUCCACAACUGAUUACACUUUUGGAUAUCUUGCUUUCAGCUUUCAAUUUGUCACUGAUCCUUGGAUAGUUCAUCACAGGUAUAUCCAGAUCAGGACAGGUUUUCUUCAUUGAGCCUGGAGUUUUAAGUCUUCCAUUAGGUGGUGAUAAGUGGGCAUGAACAGUAUGAUACUUUAACACAACACACUUGACUCUCAAGUCUCAGCUUUUCCCUGUCACCCCAGGUUUUCCUCAUCUUAGCAGAUGUCUCUCUAUUCAAGCAGUGGUUCUUGUAGGAAGCUGGGAUUUAUUCAGGGUUGCUUCCUCUUCUUCCUCAUAUCUAUUUAUUAGUAAAUAUACUUGACCUUAUUGUCUAAAUAUAUUCACAUUUAUCCACUUUUACUGCUCCUG